AGUGAACGCUGGCGGUAGGCCUAACACAUGCAAGUCGAACGGCAGCACGGUAAGAGCUUGCUCUUACGGGUGGCGAGUGGCGGACGGGUGAGGAAUACAUCGGAAUCUACUUUUUCGUGGGGGAUAACGUAGGGAAACUUACGCUAAUACCGCAUACGACCUACGGGUGAAAGCAGGGGAUCUUCGGACCUUGCGCGAUUGAAUGAGUCGAUGUCGGAUUAGCUAGUUGGCGGGGUAAAGGCCCACCAAGGCGACGAUCCGUAGCUGGUCUGAGAGGAUGAUCAGCCACACUGGAACUGAGACACGGUCCAGACUCCUACGGGAGGCAGCAGUGGGGAAUAUUGGACAAUGGGCGCAAGCCUGAUCCAGCCAUACCGCGUGGGUGAAGAAGGCCUUCGGGUUGUAAAGCCCUUUUGUUGGGAAAGAAAAGCAGCAGGUUAAUACCCCGCUGUUCUGACGGUACCCAAAGAAUAAGCACCGGCUAACUUCGUG
This 492-nucleotide ribosomal RNA is filed under the name uncultured bacterium. Its description in RNAcentral is "partial 16S ribosomal RNA". It matches the Rfam family "Bacterial small subunit ribosomal RNA", at positions 29 to 507 of the family's 1533-position model. The record is from RNAcentral.